GGAUUAGUCAAACGGAAGCCAACCUGA
This 27-nucleotide non-coding RNA is filed under the name Bombyx mori (domestic silkworm). The record is from RNAcentral. Lineage: Eukaryota; Metazoa; Arthropoda; Insecta; Lepidoptera; Bombycidae.